Long non-coding RNA from Thalassophryne amazonica, 155 nucleotides. RefSeq lists it as uncharacterized. Lineage: Eukaryota; Metazoa; Chordata; Actinopteri; Batrachoidiformes; Batrachoididae. The record is from RefSeq and is a predicted model, not a curated record. The transcript is spliced from 3 exons.
UCCAACAGAAAACACCAAACAACGCAUUCAGAGCAGAAUUAGGAUGAUACCCACUAAUUAUUAAAGUUCAAAAGAGAGCAAUUAAAUUUUAUUACCACCUUAAAAAUAGUGACUCCAAUACGCUCCAUAACAAAGCCCUGUGCUACAGAGAGACU